GAUGAAGAACGUAGCGAAACGCGAUAAGUAAUGUGAAUUGCAGAGUCCAGUGAAUCAUCGAAUCUUUGAACGCACAUUGCGCCCGCCAGCAUUCUGGCGGGCAUGCCUGUUCGAGCGUCAUUUCAACCCUCGACCUCCCCUUGGGGAGGUCGGCGUUGGGGACCGGCAGCACACCGCCGGCCCUGAAAUGGAGUGGCGGCCCGUCCGCGGCGACCUCUGCGCAGUAAUACAGCUCGCACCGGGACCCCGACGCGGCCACGCCGUAAAACACCCAACUUCUGAACGUUGACCUCGAAUCAGGUAGGACUACCCGCUGAACUUAAGCAUAUCAAUAAGCGGAGGA
RNAcentral lists this unclassified non-coding RNA (343 nucleotides) under soil metagenome. Its description in RNAcentral is "partial contains 5.8S ribosomal RNA, internal transcribed spacer 2, and large subunit ribosomal RNA". The stretch from base 1 to 120 matches the Rfam family "5.8S ribosomal RNA", at positions 35 to 154 of the family's 154-position model. The record is from RNAcentral.